RNAcentral lists this ribosomal RNA (524 nucleotides) under uncultured bacterium. RNAcentral's name for it is "bacterial SSU rRNA". It matches the Rfam family "Bacterial small subunit ribosomal RNA", at positions 10 to 523 of the family's 1533-position model. The record is from RNAcentral.
AGUUUGAUCCUGGCUCAGAUUGAACGCUGGCGGCAGGCCUAACACAUGCAAGUCGAACGGUAACAGAGAGUAGCUUGCUACUUUGCUGACGAGUGGCGGACGGGUGAGUAAUGUCUGGGGAUCUGCCUGAUGGAGGGGGAUAACUACUGGAAACGGUAGCUAAUACCGCAUAAUGUCGCAAGACCAAAGCGGGGGACUUUCGGGCCUCGCACCAUCAGAUGAACCCAGAUGGGAUUAGCUAGUAGGUAAGGUAAUGGCUUACCUAGGCGACGAUCCCUAGCUGGUCUGAGUGGAUGACCAGCCACACUGGAACUGAGACACGGUCCAGACUCCUACGGGAGGCAGCAGUGGGGAAUAUUGCACAAUGGGCGCAAGCCUGAUGCAGCCAUGCCGCGUGUAUGAAGAAGGCCUUCGGGUUGUAAAGUACUUUCAGUCAGGAGGAAGGGUGUGAAAUUAAUACUUUCAUGCAUUGACGUUACUGACAGAAGAAGCACCGGCUAACUCCGUGCCAGCAGCCGCGGUAA